RNAcentral lists this long non-coding RNA (645 nucleotides) under Sorghum bicolor (sorghum). RNAcentral's name for it is "long non-coding RNA (SBIC_LNC000185)". Lineage: Eukaryota; Viridiplantae; Streptophyta; Magnoliopsida; Poales; Poaceae. The record is from RNAcentral.
GUGAUUUACAGACAAACUGUGUAAUUAAUUUUUAUUUUCAUCUAUAUUUAAUUUUCUAUGCAUGUGCCGCAAGAUUCGAUGUGACGAGGAAUUUUGAAAUGUUUUGGAUUUUGGGGGUGAACUAAACAAGGCCUAACUGUAUUAACGCUGAAACAAAGAAGUCACGUUUCGUUUACCUAAAGUCCUAAGCCAAAGGCUACAUGAAAUGAAAGUGGUGAAUGGUACCCCUCAGCGUUUCCGCGGAGUCUAGGGUGACUAACACGAGACCGGGCAAUGCGCGCGGGGCUGCGCAGGGGCACUUACGCGGAGUACGUUGCUCUUUUUUUUCUUUCUUUCUUUUUAGCACAAGAUGGAUACCCUGUUUUUCUUGAAAGGUCUAAAAGCCUCUGCAAACUUGGCUUACCAAACUGGAUAGGAGACGGCGCAAAAGGCUAGUUUCUGGCACAACAAUUGGCUUGAGGGAGAAGCACCUAAGUAUUUGGCCCCAAAUCUCUUCCAAUUAGCCAACAGGAAGAAUAGAACAGUCCAACAGGAACUCUGUAACGACAAUUGGAUACGCUCCCUAGGCCAUCGCAUCACCACUGCCACCCACGUUGAGGAAUUUGUCUCCCUCUGGAUCAGAAUCCAGGAUGUUCAUCUCACCCA